This 171-nucleotide ribosomal RNA is filed under the name Photobacterium damselae. Its description in RNAcentral is "partial 23S ribosomal RNA". The stretch from base 1 to 153 matches the Rfam family "Bacterial large subunit ribosomal RNA", at positions 2778 to 2925 of the family's 2925-position model. Lineage: Bacteria; Pseudomonadati; Pseudomonadota; Gammaproteobacteria; Vibrionales; Vibrionaceae. The record is from RNAcentral.
CAUCUAAGCGGGAAGCGAGCCUCAAGAUGAGUCAUCCCUGAUACUUUAAGUAUCCUAAAGGGUUGUUGGAGACUACGACGUAGAUAGGCAGGGUGUGUAAGCGCUGUGAGGCGUUGAGCUAACCUGUACUAAUUGCCCGUGAGGCUUAACCAUACAACACCCAAGGGGUUU